GCACGGGCUUCCCACGCUUUGGGGCGGCCGGUCUUGGAAGUUUUCCCACAGAGGUGUAAACCCCUUUUUUAAAACCCCAAAUUCAGGGUUACCAAGGACACUUUGUGUCCGCCGGGGACAGUUUCCACCUCUCCUUUCCAAAGGCUACAGGCCACAGGUUGAAAACCACUGUUCUAGGAGCAAGGAAGGAAUGAAGAAAAUCCCAGACAGGAGACUGGUGAACAGUUCCUUGGCCUCAGCAUGAGUUCCAGAUUACAGUGAAUGGGCUCAAAUUCCUCACGGUCUGGUUCUGCUCUGUUGUGGGAAAAAUGAGGACAAGUUGAUGCCAGCAUGUGGAAUAGACUGCUGCAUCUCUGAGCCAUAGCCCUUGUUCUGCUGUAUUUCCAACAAAGGAGGAGCAAAAGUAUGGAGAGAGAUGGAAAUGGGGAAACAAAAACAAUGAGGUUUCAGCCUGGCCUUACUAGCAAGUAACGAGAAUUGCCAUCCUAUCAAGUUUGCCGUCUCCAACAAAGCUUGUACACAAAAACACUUUCAAAAGCAACUAAGGUAGGUUUGCGAUUCCUGGAUUGAUGGUGCAGAGUUUUAUAGCUACGUUAGUCAUCUCAGACAAGUAAAGAGCAGGUAUUUGAAAAGCAGCAUCUUAUACUUAAAUGUAUUCCCCGCCCCGUAUCCGUGCUCAAAGUAGAUUAAAAAAUAUGAAGAAAAAUGAAAUAAAAGAUUUUACAGGAAAAGUAGAUCAGACAUCUGAGGUUUCUUACUGUUAAAAACUUACAGAAAUCUCAGGUAAAGAAAGUACUUAACAGCCUCCUUACCUGAACAAAACUUGUCAGCAAUCUUCUAAAGUAAAGAGGUCACCCUUUUACUCAUUUUAUCUCACAUUCCUUAGUAUCCUGGGAACAGGAGAAAAUGUGUGAGGCCUUUAAAUAUAGCCUCCCCAGUUCUUGGAGGGUAAAAGACAGGAAUAAGAAGGAAUUGUCAAUUGAGAAGGACUGGCCUUGUCAUCUUCUAGGUUUCAUGUUUUCUCUGAGAUUUUUACGUUGCCCCCCCCCCCUUUUUUUUAGCAAGCUGUUGUUUUGGAUAAGGGAAGAUGUUAAAAAUAGUAUUCUCCUGGAUCUUGUAAAUCUGGUUGUAUUUACACAUUGUAGAUUAGAUCAGUGAGAUUCUAGAGGUAGGUGACCUGUAGUGCCUGAAAAUUAGCUUUUUAAAAAAGGAAAAUAAGAAGUACUUUCAUGAUACAUCUAUUUCUCUAUUAGAUAAAAAAGUGCACUUUGCUCCACUGUUUCUAUUUUCUGUAUGAGCCGUGCUCCACUCUAUGUGUAAUUAUCUGCUAGAAUGCAUACUCUGCAUGUGUUUUUAGUUAAAAUUUCUUAAAACACGGUCUUGAAGUCUGCAUAUUUUCAGCCUAGUCCUUUCAUAACUCACACAAACUAGCAUGUGUCUGUUGUGCAUGUGGAAUAUCUAUAAUAUAUAUUUUCAAGUAUUUAGCUUAGAGAUUUUGGUAGCAUGCGGCAUGACUAAUAUUUCUUUUCCUUUUUUACCAUUAAAUAUGAUAAACUAAUACAUAUCAAGAAAAACUUUUAGUUUCACUUUUUAAGAAAUAAGGUCUGUGUAGUGUUUUGUAGGGGGACUAUAAAUGAAGUGAGCUUUUUUUAGUUCUUGCUACUUUUUCAGUGUGGAAACAAACCGUAUAAACUGAACUGGAAAACACUGCCCUGGGAAAAAAAUGUUGUAGCAUCUUCUUACUCUUUAUUUGCAGAUUCCAAUUACCAUCAUGUAUGUCAUGUUAUAGUUCUCAAGGACACCUGAUGAGAUGAGUGGUACCUUAUACUGCCUGCAUGAUUCCCGCCUUUAGUGGUCAAGGGGUUUCUCAUAUGGAAGCAUUUGUGAUCUUUUCCCUUUGAUCGCGUUUGUUGCACAAUGAGGCUGAUC
Long non-coding RNA from Harpia harpyja (harpy eagle), 1929 nucleotides. RefSeq lists it as uncharacterized. The record is from RefSeq and is a predicted model, not a curated record. NCBI's taxonomy places the organism in Eukaryota, Metazoa, Chordata, Aves, Accipitriformes, Accipitridae. The transcript is spliced from 3 exons.